AUUGAACGCUGGCGGCAGGCCUAACACAUGCAAGUCGAACGAGUGGCGGACGGGUGAGUAAUGUCUGGGAAACUGCAUGAUGGAGGGGGAUAAAUACUGGAAAGGGUCGCUAAUACCGCAUACCAGCGGAUGUGCCCAGAUGGGAUUAGGUAGUAGGUGGGGUAACGUCUCACCUAGGCGACGAUCCCUAGCUGGUCUGAGAGGAUGACCAGCCACACUGGAACUGAGACACGGUCCAGACUCCUACGGGAGGCAGCAGUGGGUAAUAUUGCACAAUGGGCGCAAGCCUGAUGCAGCCAUGCCGCGUGUAUGAAGAAGGCCUUCGGGUUGUAAAGUACUUUCAGCCGGGAGGCGUUACCCGCAGAAGAAGCACCGGCUAACUCCGUGCCAGCAGCCGCGGUAAUUC
Molecule: ribosomal RNA, 406 nt
Filed under: uncultured bacterium
Lineage: Bacteria
Description: partial 16S ribosomal RNA
Rfam family: Bacterial small subunit ribosomal RNA
Source: RNAcentral